RNAcentral lists this transfer RNA (65 nucleotides) under Rotunda rotundapex. Its description in RNAcentral is "tRNA-His". It matches the Rfam family "tRNA". From Rfam's summary of the family: Transfer RNA (tRNA) molecules are approximately 80 nucleotides in length. Lineage: Eukaryota; Metazoa; Arthropoda; Insecta; Lepidoptera; Bombycidae. The record is from RNAcentral.
AUUUAAAUAGUUUAAUUUAAAAUAUUGAUUUGUGGAGUCAAAAAUAUGAGCGAUCAUUUUAAAUU